AUGGGUGCCGAUAGCAAUCUCCACGUCCUGGACGCCGGCGUGGUCAGGCCGUCCGACAUCCUCCCGGCGCACUCUCUCCCGUUCACCUUCUUCGACGUAAGAUGGCUCCGCCGGCCGCCCGUCCAGCGACUCUUCCUCUACCGUCUCGAACACCACCACCACCACACCGUCCAGCAGCUCAUCUUGGGCCUCAAGGCCUCCCUCUCCAAGGCCCUCACUCUCUUCUACCCGCUCGCUGGCCACGUCCGCCUUGCCCCCAACACCAACCGCUACGAGCUCUUCUACCAGCCCGGCGACGGCGUCGCCUUCACCGUCGCCGAGUACGACACCGACGUCGACGACCUCGCCCGUUCCUCCGACGGCGAGCCCGUGCAGGUCGCCAGCCUCGCGCCUCUCGUGCCAACACUUCCAAACGGCCGCGCCGUGCUCGCCCUGCAGGCCACCGGAUUGCUUGGGGGGCGCGGCCUCGCGCUCGGCGUAACUAUGCACCACUCCGCUGGUGACGGCGCCAGCUCCACCCACUUCCUGCACACUUGGGCCGCCGUCUGCAACGGUGCGGUUGAAAUGCCUCCGCCACCCGUCAUCGACCGCACGCUCAUCGCUGAUCCUAGGGGCCUCUACGACAUCUAUUGCAAAGAAAUGCCCACUGACGACGGCGAGAUCGAGCUCGUGACCAGCAGCGUGUCCUCUGUCCCCGAUGACCAGCUCGUCGCCACGUUCACACUACCUCAGGAGCUCCUAAGUGGCAUCAAGGACACGCUUGCCCGAGAUGCGGCCAGGCACGCUGCGCCGCCGCUCAGAUGCUCGUCGAUGCUCGCCGCCUACAGCUUCAUCUGGUCAUGCUACUGCCGAGCCCAACAGGAACAGAACCAAACAAAAACAACUUAUUUCCUAUUCGCUGUGGAUCACCGGGCACGGUUGAAGCCGCCCGUCCCUGCCACAUACUUUGGAAACUGCAUCAACCCGGCCGUCGCCGCCGCGCGCCACGACGAACUCGCAGCAGCCGGAACGGGAGGCCUCUUCACGGCAUUCAUGGCGAUCGCGAGCGCGCUGGAGGAAGAGGUGGGGGAGCGUUCGCAUGAGAGGUGGGAUGGAUGCAUCGAAAGGGCGAGGGGGGCCAUGAAGGCCGGCGCGAUGUUCGUGGUGGGGUCGCCGAGGUUCCGCGUGUAUGACAUCAACUUCGGGUUCGGGAGGCCAGCGAAGGUUGUGGCAGUGUCCGCGGCGAAGACCGGCACGAUGCCGAUGGCAGAUGCGCCCAACGGCGUUGCCGGUAUCGAGGUAGGGGUCUCGUUUCCGGCGGGAGGAAUGGAGCAUUUCCGGCACUGCUUUGACGAUGCCAUGCAUGCCAUCGGCAUGCAAGACGUCUAUCUUUAA
Molecule: ribosomal RNA, 1374 nt
Filed under: Triticum aestivum (bread wheat)
Lineage: Eukaryota; Viridiplantae; Streptophyta; Magnoliopsida; Poales; Poaceae
Description: partial small subunit ribosomal RNA
Source: RNAcentral